Molecule: ribosomal RNA, 198 nt
Filed under: uncultured Pseudomonadota bacterium
Lineage: Bacteria; Pseudomonadati; Pseudomonadota
Description: uncultured proteobacterium partial 16S ribosomal RNA
Rfam family: Bacterial small subunit ribosomal RNA
Source: RNAcentral
ACUCCUACGGGAGGCAGCAGUGGGGAAUAUUGCGCAAUGGGCGAAAGCCUGACGCAGCAACGCCGCGUGAGUGAUGAAGGCCUUCGGGUCGUAAAGCUCUGUCGGAGGGAACGAACGUUCCCGGAGUUAACAGCUCCGGGAAGUGACGGUACCCUCAAAGGAAGCACCGGCUAACUCUGUGCCAGCAGCCGCGGUAAU